AGAGUUUGAUCCUGGCUCAGAUUGAACGCUAGCGGGAUGCUUUACACAUGCAAGUCGAACGGCAGCACGAGAGAGCUUGCUCUCUUGGUGGCGAGUGGCGGACGGGUGAGUAAUAUAUCGGAACGUGCCCAGUAGCGGGGGAUAACUACUCGAAAGAGUGGCUAAUACCGCAUACGCCCUACGGGGGAAAGGGGGGGAUUCUUCGGAACCUCUCACUAUUGGAGCGGCCGAUAUCGGAUUAGCUAGUUGGUGGGGUAAAGGCUCACCAAGGCAACGAUCCGUAGCUGGUUUGAGAGGACGACCAGCCACACUGGGACUGAGACACGGCCCAGACUCCUACGGGAGGCAGC
RNAcentral lists this ribosomal RNA (350 nucleotides) under uncultured bacterium. RNAcentral describes it as "bacterial SSU rRNA". It matches the Rfam family "Bacterial small subunit ribosomal RNA", at positions 8 to 352 of the family's 1533-position model. The record is from RNAcentral.